CAGUGAAAUACACUAUGGUUACAAACGGUACUAUAUACUACUUUUAACCUUUAUCUUCACAUAUUUCAAUUUGUCCAAUGUUGGAAUAACAAAGAUUGUUUGGCGAAUGGUUGAUUUUGGAAAAUUAUACAAUAUAACUACUGUGAAAUGACAUAUAAUGGUUGAGGAAAACUCGUUAACGAUGGGUUGUCUCACAAGGCCUGGAGGGACAUUUCAGAUUACUGGAACAAACUAAGAUCCCAUCAUGACAUUUGCUGUGAGGCAUUGAGCAUGCCUCACCAUAAUAUCCUCUGCAACACGUUGACAAGGCCUCAUGUCAUCUGUGACCCAUUGAUCAGACCCCAAUGUGCUGUUCUUUGCAGCAAUGACCAGACACCUCUAUGAUGCCCGCUGCGAGACAUUGAGCAGCUGCCAUUUAACUGGUGUGAAAUAAUUACCAGCAAAGCAUCCACAAAGUGAAUUCCUCCAAAGAGACGUGCCUUGCGAUCAAAUGGGUGCAUGAUGAGGGUAUAUGAGAGGAUAUUUUAAUAGAAAUGCAAUUCUGGAAAUCAAAAUGUGCUUCAGGGCAACAGAGAAGCAGCUGAGCAGCCAUAUGUGAUCUGCGACCGUGCAGAAACCAUGCAUCACACCACAGAGACGAAGAAUCGCACCAAGAAUCUUGGAGUAAUAUCAGAGUGAUCGGAUGGACAUUAAGCCGGAGGACCCAUCUGCCGGCACUGAUCGUUGGCGGAUGUUAAAGAUUGCACAAUGUUCUUCGCAAAGAAUAGGGGCCACUGCUGAGGGCCCCCAGGUACAGAGCUGGUCCCUUUUCAUUUCUCAAGAAGACUUCACCAUUCUUUUUCUUCGACAAAGUCAAGGCAAGGCAUCAAUGUGCGUGCCAUCUAUCAGAGGGACGUUAAGCCGGAGGACCCGUCUUCCAGCAACGGGGGAGUCGGUGGACACGUUAUAGAGAUCCCAUGGUGUCUUCACGAAGAGAGUAAGUGAGGUAUCGCUGACACCCUGAACAAAUUACAAAUUCCAGCCCUUACUGACUGCUGGGAAAGCAACGACAAACUACUCAGUGUAAUCUUUGUCCAGGAACUGGUUUGGCAACACAGGUGCUCUAUCAAGAGUGUGAUACAUUUGAUUGGUUGAUUUACGGUUCGAACGAUGUGCUCGGCCAUCCCCUGAAAGUGUUUCUUUGAAUUACGAACAUGAAAAGCAUUUCCAAAAUCAUAAUUGAAAUAUUUUUCAUGUUUUUGACAGCUUGAAUUAAUAAGACUGGUUAAGGCAACAACAAUGAAAAACUUUCGGUUUUGAAGCCUCUUAUUGAAUU
This 1315-nucleotide long non-coding RNA is filed under the name Eptatretus burgeri (inshore hagfish). Its description in RNAcentral is "lncRNA (ENSEBUG00000017528.1)". The record is from RNAcentral. Lineage: Eukaryota; Metazoa; Chordata; Myxini; Myxiniformes; Myxinidae.